Molecule: ribosomal RNA, 401 nt
Filed under: uncultured bacterium
Lineage: Bacteria
Description: bacterial SSU rRNA
Rfam family: Bacterial small subunit ribosomal RNA
Source: RNAcentral
AAUGAACGCUGGCGGCGCGCCUAAUACAUGCAAGUCGAGCGAGAAGACGUAGCAAUACGUUUGUAAAGCGGCGAACGGGUGAGGAAUACAUGGGUAACCUACCCUCGAGUGGGGAAUAACUAGCCGAAAGGUUAGCUAAUACCGCGUACGCUCCUUGGACUUCGGUUCAGGGAGGAAAGCGAUACCGUGGGUAUCGCGCUCUUGGUUGGGCUCAUGUCCUAUCAGCUUGUUGGUGAGGUAACGGCUCACCAAGGCUUCGACGGGUAGCUGGUCUGAGAGACGAUCAGCCACACUGGCACUGCGACACGGGCCAGACUCCUACGGGAGGCAGCAGUAAGGAAUAUUGCGCAAUGGGCGAAAGCCUGACGCAGCGACGCCGCGUGGGGGAUGAAGGUCUUCGG